Molecule: ribosomal RNA, 301 nt
Filed under: uncultured bacterium
Lineage: Bacteria
Description: partial 16S ribosomal RNA
Rfam family: Bacterial small subunit ribosomal RNA
Source: RNAcentral
CAGCCGCCGCGGGAAUACAGAGGGUGCGAGCGUUAAUCGGAUUUACUGGGCGUAAAGCGUGCGUAGGCGGCUUCUUAAGUCGGAUGUGAAAUCCCUGAGCUUAACUUAGGAAUUGCAUUCGAUACUGGGAAGCUAGAGUAUGGGAGAGGAUGGUAGAAUUCCAGGUGUAGCGGUGAAAUGCGUAGAGAUCUGGAGGGAUACCGAUGGCGAAGGCAGCCAUCUGGCCUAAUACUGACGCUGAGGUACGAAAGCAUGGGGAGCAAACAGGAUUAGAUACCCCUGUAGUCCCUGUCUCUUAUAC